UCGGACCUGAAAUCAAUAGUGACAUAAAAAUAAAUAGUUUUUUCAUAUACUUCUAAGGUGACAUAUUAUAUACAACUAGCAUCAUAGGCCACAUACUGUAGGAAGUACUCAAAUUAUCAAAGAGAUUAAAUCCAUCUAUCGCUAGACCAAGACAGAUAUUGCACGGGUCACUCAUAAAGUGCGGAUGCUUUGCAUCAAAGUCUUUUCACACUAUAGAGUC
RNAcentral lists this long non-coding RNA (220 nucleotides) under Elaeis guineensis (African oil palm). RNAcentral's name for it is "long non-coding RNA (EGUI_LNC034845)". The record is from RNAcentral. Lineage: Eukaryota; Viridiplantae; Streptophyta; Magnoliopsida; Arecales; Arecaceae.